GAGUUUGAUCAUGGCUCAGAUUGAACGCUGGCGGAAUGCUUUACACAUGCAAGUCGAACGGCAGCACGGACUUCGGUCUGGUGGCGAGUGGCGAACGGGUGAGUAACAUAUCGGAACGUAUCCAAUAAUGGGGGAUAACUAAUCGAAAGGUUGGCUAAUACCGCAUACGCCCUACGGGGGAAAGCUAGGGACCUUCGGGCCUGGCGUUAAUGGAGCGGCCGAUAUCUGAUUAGCUAGUUGGUGGGGUAAAGGCCCACCAAGGCGACGAUCAGUAGCUGGUCUGAGAGGACGACCAGCCACACUGGAACUGAGACACGGUCCAGACUCCUACGGGAGGCAGCAGUGGGGAAUUUUGGACAAUGGGCGCAAGCCUGAUCCAGCCAUUCCGCGUGAGUGAAGAAGGCCUUCGGGUUGUAAAGCUCUUUCGCAAGGGAAGAAAACUUAGAUACUAAUAUUAUCUGAGGUUGACGGUACCUUGAUAAGAAGCACCGGCUAACUACGUGCCAGCAGCCGCGGUAAUACGUAGGGUGCGAGCGUUAAUCGGAAUUACUGGGCGUAAAGCGUGCGCAGGCGGUUUUGUAAGUCAGAUGUGAAAUCCCCGAAGCUCAC
RNAcentral lists this ribosomal RNA (609 nucleotides) under uncultured bacterium. Its description in RNAcentral is "bacterial SSU rRNA". It matches the Rfam family "Bacterial small subunit ribosomal RNA", at positions 9 to 612 of the family's 1533-position model. The record is from RNAcentral.